UCCGGCAGACAGGCAACCACAGCAGUACGGCCCUGCUUUGUUUGCUGUGUGUCGGAGU
Molecule: microRNA precursor, 58 nt
Filed under: Dasypus novemcinctus (nine-banded armadillo)
Lineage: Eukaryota; Metazoa; Chordata; Mammalia; Cingulata; Dasypodidae
Description: microRNA dno-mir-12085 precursor
Source: miRBase by way of RNAcentral